This 580-nucleotide ribosomal RNA is filed under the name uncultured bacterium. Its description in RNAcentral is "partial 16S ribosomal RNA". It matches the Rfam family "Bacterial small subunit ribosomal RNA", at positions 355 to 932 of the family's 1533-position model. The record is from RNAcentral.
UGGGGAAUUUUGGACAAUGGGCGAAAGCCUGAUCCAGCAAUGCCGCGUGUGUGAAGAAGGCCUUCGGGUUGUAAAGCACUUUUGUCCGGAAAGAAAUCCUUGGCUCUAAUACAGUCGGGGGAUGACGGUACCGGAAGAAUAAGCACCGGCUAACUACGUGCCAGCAGCCGCGGUAAUACGUAGGGUGCAAGCGUUAAUCGGAAUUACUGGGCGUAAAGCGUGCGCAGGCGGUUUGCUAAGACCGAUGUGAAAUCCCCGGGGCUCAACCUGGGAACUGCAUUGGUGACUGGCAGGCUAGAGUAUGGCAGAGGGGGGUAGAAUUCCACGUGUAGCAGUGAAAUGCGUAGAGAUGUGGAGGAAUACCGAUGGCGAAGGCAGCCCCCUGGGCCAAUACUGACGCUCAUGCACGAAAGCGUGGGGAGCAAACAGGAUUAGAUACCCUGGUAGUCCAGCGCCCUAAACGAUGUCAACUAGUUGUUGGGGAUUCAUUCCUUAGUAACGUAGCUAACGCGUGAAGUUGACCGCCUGGGGAGUACGGUCGCAAGAUUAAAACUCAAAUGAAUUGACGGGGUCAUAGCUG